Molecule: long non-coding RNA, 4294 nt
Organism: Pipra filicauda (Wire-tailed manakin)
Lineage: Eukaryota; Metazoa; Chordata; Aves; Passeriformes; Pipridae
Exons: 6
Source: RefSeq, a predicted model, not a curated record
GCGGCAGCGGGAAAACGGCGGCAGAGGCGGCGGACGGGGCAGGGCAGAGCAGAGCAGAGCAGAGGCUGCCCUCUCGGCUGGGGAAAUCCUUUCCGGAUCCUAAUAGAGUGAAGACUUGUACAGAGAAAAUUCGCUGUAUAAACAUCCUGCCCAAGAAAGGAAGGUUCGUCCUUACUCCAUCUACAGGAUCUCUUCAUCAGAUGAAACAGUAAGGUGGCCAAAGGAAGGUUCUCCUUCCCGCAGUGUCAUAAGACUGGUACCAGCUGCACAACAUGACUGACAAGAGCUGUCUGGAGCCACAUUCUUUCUUCUUGACACCUGACAGACGGCAGAAAAUAGGUGGCUUUGGCAAAAUUAAUUAGAGACGCAUUGAAGAAACAAUAACCAUGAACACCCUCCGGCAAAAAUAUGAUGUUAUUUGGCACAAAGAACCUUUGUGCAAAAGCAUUGCAGCAGCAGAAGUACUCUGACUAUGCCGAAGAAGAGCUCACCAAAUAGAAAACAAACCUUGACAAAUGGAGAGCAGCAUGGCCGCAAGGAGCCAUGAGACUGAAGAGCAAAAUUCAACACAUCUCUCCAAGUUCCUGACUACAAUGUUAGGUGUCCUGUGUUUUGCUGUUGUUGCCUCUACAGGCACCUGCAGGAAGCCAAGAGCUAUUCACCCCUUGCAUGCAAGUCACCAGAGAAGCAGAUGACCUGAGAAGAGCAUGAUGCAGCCUGGUACACCUCAACCCACUUGGGCAGGUCUCCCAAUUUUAUCAUGGCACCCAAAUCACCCGGUUGAACAGCCCAAGAGGAGAAGUGGCAUAUUUCCUAUCACUCAACUCUGCUGUAAUAACAGUUCAGGGUCUGUUUCUAAAGCAGCCUCAUAUAUAAGUCAACCUGCUCUCACAGAAAGCUUGACUUCAACUCUUCUUACUCCAGUGAAGAGACUUCUACUAGGCUCUGUCACUUUGGCUCAUGCACAAAUUACAUUUUUAGUGAAAGAGGGAUGGAUAGGGCAAGGUGAGAAAUUAUACACAUAUGCAGAUAUUGUAUCUCUAGUAAGCCUGCAUAAAGAUAUGUGAGCAGUGAGGAAAGGGUUGAGACCUUCCAGGAAAGUUGAACAGGAGAAGACGAUGUUGGAUGAAAACGUGGGUGAAUAAAAAAGUGAACACAAAAACACAGGGAGAGAAACUGAUAGAGACAGAAAAUGGAAGCAGAAAAGAUGUAAGAACUAUAUCAAGAAAUAAUGUGUCAAGAAAGUAAAAAGGCAAAUGACAAGGAAGGCUAAUUGUAUAUUCCAUUGCCUGAAACAGUGCUUGUAGCUGCAAUAUGGCAGUAAAAAUCAGGCUUGUUUCAUAGAUAAACACAGCAUGUUUGAAACUGGGGGGAAAGUGUGAAGGAACCAAAUAAAUAAGAAAGAAUAAAUGGUCAGUUUUCUCAAGGAAAAGAGGGUACUCCUGGAGACCCACGGGAAUCUGGACUGAGAUCUAUAUUAGCACAGAAUUACUCAAGAUAGAAAAAUUAAAACUUACAUGAAGAAUUUAAAAAAAAACUCUUGAUUUUCACCUCUUGAUAGACUUUGAGGUGCUGGAGCAAGCCCAAACAAGGGCAAUGAAGCUGGGAGAGGGUCUGGACCACAAGUCUUAUCAGGAGCAGCUGAGGGAGUUGGGGUUGUUUAGACUGGAGAAAAGGAGGCACAAGGGGAAUCUUAUCACUCUCUACAACUACCUGAAAGGAGGUUGGAGUAAGGUGGGCGUGAGUCCCUUCUCCCUAGAAACAAACGAUAGAUCAGGAAGAUAUGUUGCACCAGUGGAGGUUUAGAUUGGAUAUUAGGAAAAAUUUUUUCAUGGAAAGGGUUGUCAACCACUGGAACAGACUGCCCCAGAGAAGUGGUUGAGUUACCAUCCCUUGAUGAUCUUGGAGGUUCUUCCAACCUAAAUGAUUCUGUGAUUCUAUUAUUCUAUGAAUGUCUGGGUUAUAAAAUAAUAGCCAAUACAUUCUAGUUCAAUAAUGACAAUGCAUGUAGGGAAAACAAACACAUCUACAUGGUGAUGAUCACUAAAUUAAUGAUUUCAUCUCAGGAAACACAUCUUGGAGAGCCUGAAAAAUAUGUCAGCCCAGUGCUCAGCAGCAGUAAAACCAGUUAAGAACACUAGGAAAAUACUAGAAAACAAGUCAGAAACUAUUCUGCUGAUAUAUAACCUGUGAUGUACAGUCAUCCAAUCUCAAAAACAAUAUGGGUAAAUCUAGGAAAAUACAUUGAAAGACAGAGACAAUGGUCGGCUGCACGAAUAGCUUCUGAAUGAGGACUGUUUGAAUAGAAUAAGACUUCUGUACGGACAAGAAGUGACUGAGGGCUAACAUACAGUGUUAUUUCUUCAGGAGACACAGAGAAGGUAAAUAUGAAAUAUUAUUGACUAUUUAUUACAAUGCAGGAAUAAGUGGAACACAAGACAUUACUGGUUGACAAACCAAAUGUAAGAGAGCAUUUUUUUCACAGAUUAGGUAGCUGAAGUGUGAGACUUGUUCAUGUCCACAAGAUGUUGCAAAGCUUUAAAGAUAAGUAAACUCAGUAAAGACUCAGUAAAUUAAUGGAACUCCUAUUGAAUGCAAAAUCUCUGUGUAUAAUAGUAGCAAGUAAUGAACUACUGUAUAGUUACUUUGGUUUUCUAGACACAGAAUAUUGGGAAAUGUUUUUUUGUUAUUUGAUCCAAUCUGGAUAGUGAUUUUGAUAGUCUAUGGGAUAUGAACUAGAGGAAAAGUGCUUUUGUCUUUGCAGGGGAUACAGAGUAGCUUUAAGGGAUCUGAGUAUGAUGCUGCAGGGUAAAAAGCUUGAUUCAUUUUUUUCCAGAAGAGAAGGCAGCUUCUUUACCUUUGGCUCUCAUGUAGCUCAGGGAACUUGCUGUACCAGGCUAGUCUCACAUCACUUCAUGUCCUACUUUCACAAGUCCUCUCUCCUUUGUUGGUUUCAUUAACUUUCUGCAACUCAGAAAAAAAAAAUCAGUCUAAAAUUAGACUGACCUAUACAGGAUAGUUAAAUAAACUCUUGUUCCCUAGAUCUACCACACAAUUUUUCCUUCAUUACUGUGGAUCAAGCAGAUCUAGAAUUUGUGAAGUGAGCAUAAUUUAUUCCAGACUCAUGCUGCAGUAAUUUAUGUUCUUGAGCCUUUGCAGAGGUAUAGUCACUAGAGAGCUGUCUAUCUACAGGAGUUUUUACACAUAUUUCAUCUAAAUCAACACUGUAAAUGCAACAUCGAAGAUGCAGUGAGUUUGUGUGGAUUUGUAGCACUCCCUGGAGGACUCUGUGUCUAAAAACCAAUAAACAUUUCACAGUUCUCAGUAACUGAAGAUUUUCAUUAUUUUUGAUGCAUGCAAUAUUGACUGGGUUUCUCAUUUUAAUUUCAGUAUUAUUCCACAGGUAAUAAGUGAUUGGAGAAUAACUUCUUGCAAAUGAAUUAUAAAAGUGAAAAUUAAUUUUUGUAUACUUAGGUGCUGCUAUUUAUUCAUUAUAAACAAAGAAGCAAAACAGAAUGUUCAUUUGUAAGUAAAAUGCAUUUUAUAUUGGUUGAAAACUGUGGCAAGACAUUGAUAUUUUAUGAUCAAAACAAGUAAAAAGAAGACAAAUAAACAGUCAUUUUAUUUCUGUAUAUAUGUCUUUUGGCUUUGUACACCUGAGUGACACAAGUCUAACUCUGAAAGUUAAAUCUGCAUAAAAUUCAUUGUUACAACCUGUAAGCCUAUGUGGAGAUGAAAAUUUCUAAUUAUUACUCUGAAAUCAGGUGAUGUAAAAGAAUGACUGAAUAUGGGGUCAAGAUCUCAAAUAUAUUCCUUAAUCAGCAAGAUGCCAUUUCUAGAAUGAAGUGACUAUUAAAUGUUUCUGAAAGGGUGGUCAGGAUUCAACAUUGGAAAUGCAGAAGCAGUGGUGUGUGUGGUCAGUGCUUACAGAGGUCUAUGAAUAAUAAAUAAUCUAGACAAUUAACCAUAGUUAGAGUUAUACAAGCAAGACAUCAAAUAAAUCAAGGCCUCCUGCUCAUGCAUAGAUACAAAAAACAGCACUUCUGUUUGUUUGGGUUCUUUUGGAUGUUUUUUGGUUCUUUAUUCAGCAGGUUUGCUUCAUUUAAAUAGGAGACAGCAGACAAAAAUUUAAUCAACCAAAAUUUUUAAAGUUCAAAAUGAUUUGGAGAAAGGUCAUGAAGUGUCUGACCCUCUACCACAGUCUUGAUACACACAGUCUCUAGGGGCAAGCAGGUUGCAUCUUGCAUAUGUACACUGCCAUGCAGAUCGCAUCAAUGCAGUUCUGCAGCCAGCA